RNAcentral lists this long non-coding RNA (586 nucleotides) under Equus asinus (donkey). RNAcentral describes it as "lncRNA (ENSEASG00005034521.1)". The record is from RNAcentral. Lineage: Eukaryota; Metazoa; Chordata; Mammalia; Perissodactyla; Equidae.
GCGUUAUCCUGUAGCUAUUUAGCUAGAUAGCUUAUGCAAGGGAGUUGCAUUCCCACAUGCUGCGAAAAGACUUAUCAAGUGGGUCCACCUGAGUUCUUCCUUUGCCGGCUCAGCUGUCUAUACAAAAAUUAGAAAUAAUCCAGGGUGAGUUACUUUCACAAUGUCAGCAGAAACAGCAAGAUGAGCACAGGCCAACACGGUGUCUCUGCAGAUCUGUGCAGAACCUGUGAGUGUGGGUUGAUGAGUAGUAUGUAGGUCUGUGCCCAAGAUCCGAGCCCGCAAACCCCAAGUUUCCUCACCGAAGCAGAGCAUGUGAACUCAACCGCUACGCCACCGGGCUGGCUCCGUGGAAGGCAUUUUCCAGGGGAAGUAUCACUGCAAGCAGGGGUAAUCACCCAAGUCAUCCUACCAAAUGUAGCGAAAGCAGAGUGCUGCUACUGCUAUAGAAGCUACCUAUUAAAAUCCGAGUUAGAUUAUGUUAUUCUCUGCUAGAAAUUCUUCAAUGAUACCUCUCUUACUCAGAAUAAAAGCCAUCGCUCUUACAAUAAACUUUAAGGUUCCACAUUACCUGGUACCCCCAUUGCUU